GACGAACGCUGGCGGCGUGCCUAAUACAUGCAAGUAGAACGCAGUUGCGAACGGGUGAGUAACGUGUAGGUAACUGCCUCAUUGCGGGGGAUUACUAUUGGAAACGAUAGCUAAUACCGCAUACUGUGACAUGGACCUGCGUUGUAUUUGCUUGUUGGUGUGGCAAAGGCUCACCAAGGGGACGAUACAUAGCCGACCUGAGAGGGGAGUCGGCCACACUGGGGCGCAGACACGGGCCAGACUCCUACGGGAGGCAGCGGUAGGGAAACUUCGGCCAUGGGCGGAAGUCUGACCGGGAAACGCGGCGGGAGAGAAGAGGGUUUUCGGAUCGUAAAGCUCUGUUGUUAGAGAAGCGGUAACUAACCAGAAAGGGACGGCUAACUACGUUCCAGCAGCCGCGGUAAUUC
Molecule: ribosomal RNA, 407 nt
Filed under: uncultured bacterium
Lineage: Bacteria
Description: partial 16S ribosomal RNA
Rfam family: Bacterial small subunit ribosomal RNA
Source: RNAcentral